AUUGAACGCUGGCGGCAUGCCUUACACAUGCAAGUCGAACGGUAACAGGUUAAGCUGACGAGUGGCGAACGGGUGAGUAAUAUAUCGGAACGUGCCCAGUCGUGGGGGAUAACUGCUCGAAAGAGCAGCUAAUACCGCAUACGACCUGAGGGUGAAAGCGGGGGAUCGCAAGACCUCGCGCGAUUGGAGCGGCCGAUAUCAGAUUAGGUAGUUGGUGGGGUAAAGGCCCACCAAGCCAACGAUCUGUAGCUGGUCUGAGAGGACGACCAGCCACACUGGGACUGAGACACGGCCCAGACUCCUACGGGAGGCAGCAGUGGGGAAUUUUGGACAAUGGGCGCAAGCCUGAUCCAGCCAUGCCGCGUGCGGGAAGAAGGCCUUCGGGUUGUAAACCACUUUUGUCAGGGAAGAAAAGGUUCUGGUUAAUACCUGGGACUCAUGACGGUACCUGAAGAAUAAGCACCGGCUAACUACGUGCCAGCAGCCGCAGUAA
Molecule: ribosomal RNA, 493 nt
Filed under: uncultured bacterium
Lineage: Bacteria
Description: partial 16S ribosomal RNA
Rfam family: Bacterial small subunit ribosomal RNA
Source: RNAcentral